GGGGAUUUAGCUCAAAUGGUAGAGCGCCCGCUUAGGCAUGCGGGAGGGCACCGGGAUCGAUACCCGGAUUUCUCC
Allomyces macrogynus ATCC 38327 is the source of this 75-nucleotide transfer RNA. It matches the Rfam family "tRNA". From Rfam's summary of the family: Transfer RNA (tRNA) molecules are approximately 80 nucleotides in length. Their secondary structure includes four short double-helical elements and three loops (D, anti-codon, and T loops). Further hydrogen bonds mediate the characteristic L-shaped molecular structure. tRNAs have two regions of fundamental functional importance: the anti-codon, which is responsible for specific mRNA codon recognition, and the 3' end, to which the tRNAs corresponding amino acid is attached (by aminoacyl-tRNA synthetases). tRNAs cope with the degeneracy of the genetic code in two manners: having more than one tRNA (with a specific anti-codon) for a particular amino acid; and 'wobble' base-pairing, i.e. permitting non-standard base-pairing at the 3rd anti-codon position. The record is from Rfam. Lineage: Eukaryota; Fungi; Blastocladiomycota; Blastocladiomycetes; Blastocladiales; Blastocladiaceae.